Molecule: non-coding RNA, 104 nt
Organism: Cadophora malorum
Lineage: Eukaryota; Fungi; Ascomycota; Leotiomycetes; Helotiales; Ploettnerulaceae
Source: the annotation of a GenBank genome assembly
GGGGCUGUGACGCAGUGGUAGCGUGUUCCAUUCGCAUAAAUUCUAAGUUCUAACGAAUAAAGUUAAUGUUGGAAAAGUCGUGUGUUCGAAUCAUACCUGCUCCA